RNAcentral lists this non-coding RNA (31 nucleotides) under Rattus norvegicus (Norway rat). The record is from RNAcentral. Lineage: Eukaryota; Metazoa; Chordata; Mammalia; Rodentia; Muridae.
UUCCAGAUUGGUGCUUACUGGCUUACUCCUC